GAACCGACUGAUGUUGAAAAAUCAGCGGAUGAAUUGUGGUUAGGGGUGAAAUGCCAAUCGAAUUCGGAGCUAGCUGGUUCUCCCCGAAAUGCGUUUUGGCGCAGCGGUAAAUGUUAUAAUUUAGGGGUAAAGCACUGUUACGUAUGCGGGCUGGUAAUUCGGUACCAAAUCGUUGCAAACUAAGAAUACUAAAUGUACAGUUUACCAGUAAGACUGUGGGGGAUAAGCUCCAUUGUCAAGAGGGAAACAGCCCAGAGCACCAGUUAAGGCCCUUAAAUAAUUACUAAGUGGUAAAGGAGGUGGGAGUGCAGAGACAAUCAGG
This 322-nucleotide ribosomal RNA is filed under the name Isochrysis galbana. RNAcentral's name for it is "partial Bacterial large subunit ribosomal RNA". It matches the Rfam family "Bacterial large subunit ribosomal RNA", at positions 776 to 1097 of the family's 2925-position model. Lineage: Eukaryota; Haptophyta; Isochrysidales; Isochrysidaceae. The record is from RNAcentral.